Long non-coding RNA from Cygnus olor (mute swan), 2981 nucleotides. RefSeq lists it as uncharacterized. NCBI's taxonomy places the organism in Eukaryota, Metazoa, Chordata, Aves, Anseriformes, Anatidae. The transcript is spliced from 9 exons. The record is from RefSeq and is a predicted model, not a curated record.
AAUGGCUUAAUUAGCUCAGGGGCUAGCCUAGAUUUGGCUAGCCAAGUGUUUGCACCAAGGCAGUUGUACAUCCAUCAUCAAGAGGGAGGCUAAUCAGGGCCAAGGUGGACGAGCAGUCUGCCUCCUCACAUCACAGCAACAGUGUGGCCCAGCAGUGUGCAAACAUGCUCCAGUGUGUCCCUGCUCAGAGAAGAAAAAGCUGGUGACGGGGAAACAGAUCAUGGCUGCACAGUCAGGAGCCUGCUGAGUCCUGCACACUCGGCAGCAGGAGAAGGGAGGGGAAACUGCAGCACUAUUGUCUGGAUGGGGUUGGCUUUGGGAUAGCUUUUAAUGGUGAGGGCUCCUGACUUAAGAUAGUAUUUCUUCCCCAGCAGGUCUGUUUGUUUCACCAGGACCUGCUUUCCCUGCGGGCUGCCGGGGCUUUUGCUGCUGGAAUCCCACCGAGGUGUUGAUAACCCUGCCUCUGGCUGCUUUGAGACCUCUGCCACGUGCCCUUAAGUUUCCUGUUGUCUGCCUUGCUCGGCUGGGACCACGGGGCUCCUGCUCAGCGCCAUCCAUCUCUCCCCAUCACAGGGACAGUAACAGGUUUUUCUGGGCGUACUCGCCAUGCUGGAUUCGCGACAGCUCCUGCAUUGCUUCUGUGAAACCCGCCUUCAACUCAGAGGCUAAUGCCUGCAACUAGAGGAACCACAAACACGAGGCUCUAGUGCUGCUGGAAGAGCUCCCAACCUAAGCUGGAGGCAGCCGGUUGACAGCUGGGCGAAGCAGGAGACAGAGCGGGGCGAGCCGCGCUGGCACAGCAAGCAGGCGAGGCAGGUUUGGAGGUGGGCAGUGAGGGGACACAGGCAGCUUGCCAAGCGGGGACACCCUCUUCAGGGAUACCUUGGGCCGUCAGCCCUGAGCUCUGCCCCCACUGCUGUGAGCAAGGCGCUUGUUCUGCCUGCACAAAGCCCACGGCGAGGUCGCGGCCCAAGGCGCUUCGGUACCAGUGUUUUUUACCUUUACAACAGAAAUUCGGCCUAACAUCUGGUUAUAAACUGAGUCCAAAACUGGAGCACUGAUGGUAAGAGGACAGCCACCCCGGGGAACUCAGGCGCUUGAGUCCUGUAAAUGGAGCAGAGAUGGCUUCCGAUACCUCGGGGCAAUGACAUGCACCAUCCUCCUCUGAUCAACACCAACAGCAUCUUUACAGAGGACGUCUGCCUGACAUCCCCACUCCUACCCCAGUGCCUACCCCACAGGUCCCCUACACAUUCCCAGAGCUGCCUGGGCAGGAGGAGUGGGACUGACAGGAGCUGGAAUGGGACAGGGGGAGAACAAGAGGCAGGAGGUGGGGGCAGAGGAUAUCUUCCCUCCUCGGGCAGUCAUCCCUAAUUCCCCAGGCCAGCUGGAGCUUAAGAUCCCUUGAUUCAGCCCCUACACAGUGGACACCUUCCUGUCACAGUGGUGGUUGCCCUGUGAGCAGUGAGUGUAGCCUGUUGGGUUAGAGGAUCUGCGUGGAGCCAUAGCUGCUAGGGGAGGCAAACCACACUGCUUCUGGUAUCUGUGCGUUUACCAGCGCCUAGCAAGAAACCCUCAAUUAUCCACCAGAAGUUACUGCUGGUUGUGCUGAACUGGCACUUUGAGGAGAUUGCAAUUUGAUUGCUGUCGGUUCCCAUUUUAUUCCCUAUGUCAGGCUCCAUUGGCCUUCACCUCCCAGAAAAUACCAUGCCACCUGGUUCCUCGUUUGUACUGCCUCCCCUCGGUAACAUCAAUUCACAAGGCAACCUCAUGAACUGGAAACCAACUUUUGGCCUGAAUGGAAUGAUGAAACUUUCUUUGGAUUCCUGGAGUCGGGGCUUGAGAAAGCAGCCAAUGUACUUACUGCAAGAAAACUCCAAGGUCCUGCUUCUGCAGCCCCCCUGCCCAGCACGUCACUAGGAGCUCUGCCAUCAGCCUCACCGCAGAGAUUCAGCGUGAAGGAUGCUGUCCGAAGAGCAUCCGUGGUUGCCCUCUAGUAACACAAGGAAACUCGCAGUUGUCAUGAGGGACGGUGCACGUAAGGAGGGGAAACUCACGGGUGGAACCCCCACUGCUGUACUACAGGACAAAGUGCAAGGAUUUACAGCCUCCAGUGGGGAAAAAAAGUAACUGCCGUGUGAACUGAGUCCUCAUAAACCAUGUAUUUCUGCUGAUCUUUGAAAGCUGUGAUCGAGCUCAUCGUUAAACCUGAAAACUGCUAUAAAGAAGAAAUGUAUGUAUCAGCGUCCCUUGUAAAUGAGGGGAAAAUAACUUCCAAAACCAAUUACUGGAGAUACUGGACUGUGGAGAUACUUAAAGAAAAAAUAAACCUAAAGUAAACCUAGGAAAUCUGACAGAGAAGUCAUAAGGAAAAUAAAUGUGAACAUUCUUUUGUGAGUUUUUACAGUUAUUUUUCUCAUUAGAUCUGUUUUGUGAAUUAUGAAGUGGGUAUCAACUUCUUGCUUUAGGAAAAGAUGGUGUCUUAGCAAUUCAAAACACCCUUAUUUAAAUGAAAUUAGCCUAGUUGUUGUUUUGUAUGAGUGGCACUAAAAUAUUUUAUUCUGAGUGAUAAAAAAUAAACCUCUGCAUUUUCUCUACAGAAUUUGUACCUCAAAAAUAAGUAAACAAAAACUUUGCAAACUAUCAGUGCAAAUCAGUGCUGUAUUUCUGCAUGUGUCUGUAGGCUUGAAAAAAUUCUGAAAUUUAUCUGAACUGUUCUCUUCUUCUUAACUCUGCCUGAGCCUGGAGACCUGGUAACACAAAAACAAGUGGGUGAGUGGAAGAACCACCUUGAAAACUUCUGACUGGGCUUGAAUCACUGGCUUUUAACUGAUCUGAUGAGAUGGAUACAACUGGAAUCAGCAAUUUCAGAUAUUCAGUGCAAGUUUCACUGGUAGCAAAAGAAACCUACUCCCAUGUUGGGUGAAUUUUAUUUGGACUUCACGCCUUAUCAAAUCAAAACUAAUAGAAAAGACUACAGA